AUCUAGCUGACGUGUUCCAAAUAAGACGAAACUCACGUCCUGUAU
Non-coding RNA from Schistosoma curassoni, 45 nucleotides. Lineage: Eukaryota; Metazoa; Platyhelminthes; Trematoda; Strigeidida; Schistosomatidae. The record is from Rfam.